UACUUAAACUGCCACUUCAGGGAUGGGGGAAUAUUUGUUAGCAUUUUCAAAAAUUGAGAAUUUAGCCACAGAGUAAGUGAUGGCUUUUAAAAAUGAGUGGAUUGAGCCAUUGAGACGCAUGUUAAGUUGUUUACAGGAACCUAGUGUUGCUCAUUCCUUAUAGCACAGGACAACAUCCUCAGCCUGGAAACAGGUCUGCAGACCAUUCUGAGAUUGCAGAUCUGUGUGACUCUUCUACCCACACUGUUGCAGGCAUAGUACCAGAAGUACCACCUAAGUAACCAAAACAGUAGGCUUUUUUUUUAAAACAAGACUGAAUGGAUGUGUUUUGCCCAAAACAUAGUUGUCUAAGGUUUAGAGUACAAAGAACACAACACAUUUAAUUUAACUUAUUGUGAUAGUAUUAAUGUUGUAGUCAGAUUUCAUUGUGGAAACUAAAUACACACUCUGUUCCUCACGAUUGUAUUUAGUUUCCAUAAUAGUUUUUUUUAAAUCCUCACAGAUUGGAGAUAAAAUAUGGAAAUUUAUGAUUAUCAAUAUUUGGAGCCAAAUCCUAAGAGAAGAAGUUUGGACCGAGGUCUAAAAGUACUUAACUGAAAUGGAGCCAUGGAGAGACAAGUUUAAUCUUGGAGACACAUGGGAGAAGGGAAGAAAUGGAGCCCACGGUGCUAAGGGCUUUCAAAUUUGCCUCCUUGUUUCCUUUGGCAGUGCAUUUCCAGGGCCACCGUUUUAAAUACAGUCACGUUGGCUUGAGAUGGGACUCCCUGACCCUUUUAGGCCUCCUUUUGUAGUAACAAUAUAGUUUUACGAUGAGACAGGUCUUGCAGAAAAUCCCCUCCCUUUGGUCUCUUUUUUUCCUUGCAGUGUACAAUCCUGGCCCUUGGAGUUCAAGCGGUUUAUUUAGAGAUGUAAAUGUUCAAAUUUAGGUUCAGAGUCUUUGAGGUAGUCUGAGUCUUGGAGAUCUUUUCCAAUAAAAGUAUUGCUCCCUUUUAACAUACACCAGAGACGUCCUUUCACUUGCAAACAGCUUCAGUAGGGCUGUGAUCAUACUCCAGGACAGUGCUGGCCCCACUUGUGUCUGUGUAGAGCCUCUAGAAGCUGGGCACCAGUAGCUGCACAGGCUGACAAGGCUAUGUGAGAAGCAAGCUUUAACUGCACACAAAAGUGGCCCUUACUUUGUAGCUAGAAUUGUCCUUGGCACAUAGAGUAAACAAGAGUGGUGCAGAUUGGAAAUUGCAAAACCCAGCAAAGAAGUGAGAAAGUCUGUAACUACUUGACACCCUCACUCCACAACCCUGCCUACAAUUAGUUCAAGAUGGAAGAAAUCAAUACAACUCAGUGUCCCACAAAAUCUUAUCAUCUAACUUGGCUUUCUAAAAUUUUUCAUUUGUGUAUACCUUUUGAGGAUGUGGUCUAUCUGACCCAGUAGGCAAGAAAAAAACAAAAAACAAAAAACAAAAAGAAGACUCCACACCUACAUUCUGCUAAUAAAAUUGGAGAAGACAGCCUUGAAAGAUGACUUUUCUACAGCUGUGCUGUCCAUGAGAGCAGUCAAUCUUCAAGUAUCCAGUGGCAGUAUGUCAUGAUAGACUCUUCAAAUACAAUUCAGGAUGUCAGGCAAACUCAGGAGAAGCAUCAGAGAAACUAACAAGUGAUGACAAAUGGGGAUGAAGGAGACAACAUUUGGUGCCUGGGAAGUAAAAAGGGUUGAAUAAAAUCCUGUGUGCACAAACACCCAUAGGUGUUUUCAACACAUCAGAACAAAAGAUGUGAAUGUACAGCAUCAAAAACAGAAUUCCACAUGCUUCCCACUCUCUUCUCACUUGGGAACCCCAAUGUUGUGUGUAAUUGCUCCUAGCAGCAGCCUGGCUGCCCUGGAGGACAUGAGUUUGAAAGGCUCCCCAGUCAGAGGGAGAAGCACUUCGCCAGACACCAUUGCAAGCUGCCCUAAGACUCUAACUGGUCAAGCACCAAGAUCUACAACUCCAAGGUCUAGAGAGGUCAACACUCUUGCAUUCUCAUAGCGCCAUACCACUUCCCAUAAGGUUUUUCAUUACGUAGGUCUCACCCAGUCAAGAGUGGGCCUGAAAACACUCCCAAGUGUCAGUGUCUAUGCUGGCAAAGCCAGCCCCCUGGUCUUCCUGCUGAGCCACCCUGUGUAGACUUGAUACUAUAACUUUGCAUAAAGAAUCGUAUUGCCUCCAAGGAGACCUCUUAAUGACUUAAUUGCAUCUGGCUCUACUAUUCUGAAUAUAUGGCUGAAUAAUUGAAUAUAAACUAGCAAUAUAACUCAAGCUUCUACCCACCCUCUCCAUUCAGGGUCCUCUGAACCCUCAGGUAAAUGCCUAAAAGGAAGCUUGUCCCAACAGGUAAAUUCAAGUCUUAACAACACAAGUAGUGCAGAAGUAACUAACAGCAGACUAAUCAGUGAAGACAAAGGUAAGAAAUAAAGUCAGGGACCAUCAUCAAGCCCCCUGAAGUUAAAAAGAUGAAGUCCAUCUCACCCUUUGCACUGAUCUUACACUGUGUGUACCUGCAGUUGUGAAAUAAACCUACAAUCUGAAUUAAUCAGCUAUUACUGGCCUAAGCAAUGUGACUUUUUUUCUAGGCAGGGUCAGACCUUUGUCUUGAUGCUCCAUUCAACCUCCUAAGUGACAUGACUUUAUAUGGUGUAUUAUACACUUACAUCUCCUAAAGAGGACAUAUGGUUUCUCUGAAAUUUUCUCUUCUUAUUUAAUUAAAGAAUAGAAAUACCUCAAACAAAUAUCUUCCUUAAAGAGACUUUUAAAAUAAAGUUUAAUAAACCUUAUUAAAAGAAACUUGCAAAUAAAAAAUAACAGCACACACCAAAAUUAGCCAGAUCCAAAGUCUAUACAGCUUAAUGAACAGAGUUAGAAUUGGUAUUCAAAACAUAAACUGUGAAGCUUCUUAUUACAAAUUUCAGUGUUGAGUAUAUUUUAUGCACUUAUCCACCAUUCAAACAAACAAAUAAACAAACAAACAAAAUCUAUCACAGGAUAACUAAAAAUAUUUAGCUUUAUGUCGUCUUUCAUGAGUGGACUCAUGUCCACUGCCUGCAUUCAAAAACAGAUCAUAAAAUAAACUU
This 3106-nucleotide long non-coding RNA is filed under the name Mus musculus (house mouse). RNAcentral describes it as "long non-coding RNA chr9:13636356-13639462". Lineage: Eukaryota; Metazoa; Chordata; Mammalia; Rodentia; Muridae. The record is from RNAcentral.